This is a long non-coding RNA of Apodemus sylvaticus (European woodmouse), 2896 nucleotides long. RefSeq lists it as uncharacterized. The record is from RefSeq and is a predicted model, not a curated record. The transcript has 2 exons. Lineage: Eukaryota; Metazoa; Chordata; Mammalia; Rodentia; Muridae.
CCUCUUGAGUAGUUGGUAUUGAGGACAUAGAGUGUGCCAAGUGUGCUAGUAGCGUCGCCUUCCUUGUGUCCGGCUCCUUCUAAGGCUCCAGGCCUAGCAAACCGUGUCGCUCCUCUCCGGAGGACACCGAGCGAGCGCCCUAAGGAGAGUCUAAAGCCCUCUCUUCAAUCCCGUGCUGUCGUGUGAAGAGCGGGAAGCCGUGGCUCCUCUACUCCGUUUUGGAUUCAGGCGUCGGUUGCCCCAAAUUGGUGGUAUUCCCAUGAAAUAAAGAAGAACUGCCAACACUAGGCGCGUGAUGCUGCGCGAGAAACGAAAAGAUGAAUCGGUCUCUCAGGAGCUUCGGUCCAGUCGUUACAGGCACAGCAGCAGACAGCUAGAGAAUCCAGAGUCAUCUGUUACGCCCACCACCUGUGCUACCCUCGGCUGAACAGCACACAGGUCUCAACUCGGAGACUUGCCGCUUACCUAACAAGACUCUGGAACCUUCCUGGAAGGGACCAUAUCCUGUGAUCCUGACAACACCAAGGGCCAUCAAGGUAGCAGGGACCGCAGCUUGGAUCUACCACCUCCACCUAAAGGCAGACACAACCAGCCAGAUAGGUGACAGAUGGAGGGUAAUGCAAUGUCCCCAAUGCCCUCUAAAGGUGUGGCUCAUAUACACCUUGAACUCAGACUGGCACUAAUUUUGGGAAUCUUGAUAGGUCACUCCCAGCAAGUUGAAAAUGUUGAAGCCUGGGAUUGGGAGCUGUAUCGAACCUCAGAUAGGAAACCAAUAGGUGUUUUCCAGAGUAUCAAUUCCCAACCUGUGUUUAAAUUUGACCUGUGCGAUUUUUUUGAUGACAAUGAACUUAUGGCUGAAUGGGGAAUUUAUAGUCCAGUUCACCCAGGGUGUGGGACCAAAAUGCAGGAAAUAUCCCUCUGGUCUUCGCCAUUUUAUGCAUGCCCAGCUGAUGGGCCUACACACUGUCACAGAUGGGAAAAAGAUUAUCAUUGCUCUACCCCAGGCUGCGAGACUGAGUCUGACCAGGGCGGACAUAAAGACCCAUACAUCUCCAUUCAACGGGUAUAUCCUUCCCGGGAUUGCAAACCUGGGACCUGUAAUCCCUUUACUUUAAAGAUUGUGUCUUGGAAUGAAUUGAGUGCCAAAUACUGGCUUACAGGCCGGACCUGGGGAUUUGUACUUAAAUUUAAGAAUUAUGGAAACAGUCCUGGUGUAGAAUUCACUAUACAGAAAUACGUUCCACACUACAGAGCCAAUCCUGUAGGUCUGCAAAGGAGCUGGUUGCCUCAACCAGGGAUCAGGCUGUAUCCUUUCUCUCUCCUCACCCCUCAGGCCAUUUCACCCAUGGUAGUGAAUCUCUCCACAGUCAUGGUCAAGGGGCGACAGGAAUAGAUACCUUCAACCCUUCUCUAGAACUCACUUAAAGUUUUGUUCCCUAGUGAUUCCCCUGAGCUCAAGACUUGAAGUUAUUACAUAAUUGGAUAAAUCACACACACCCCAGCCCUUGAAGAAGAUUAUUGGCUUUGUCAAGGUCCCAGGCCUCUCUUUUAUGUAGAGAUAGGGGUCAAUCUCUCUAUUAUCCCAACCAGAAAAUUUAAAUGGUAGAACAAAGAAACUAGACUCACCCUGGGAGAUUUCUAAGGAAAAGGUUAAUCUCUUCAAUUUGUAAUUAUCCAGCUUCCCAUUAUAGCAAAACCUGCAUACCCGUUUGUACAUCAACUGGUCUGAGCAUAUCUCUAAUGCCUAUGAAGGACAUGGUAGACCUGUGUGUUUGAGCUUGCUGGGUAUGUAACAUCUGCAUACUUUGAAUUUUGGCCCAAGGAAAGAAAUCUCUCUAUUAUAGCCUAUAUAUCCUCUCUCAAGUAGACAUGUAUACUGGAGAGAAAGGUAGAAAACUUUUGCCUACAUAUGAAGGAUAAUUCCCAUUGUGAGGCCCAGCAGGGUUUGUUAGAAAAAAGAGAAUAGCAAUCUCAGCUAUAUAGUUAAACCCUCCUCCUGAAAGCAAGAAUCACUGCUAUGGGUGCCUUGGGAGUGUUAGCUCUAGUUAUUCAAGACCAGAAUUUUAAAGUGCUUAGUAAUAAAGUAGAACAAGACAUACAGCACCUAAAGGACUCUAUCCAGCAACUUGAAAAACAAGUAGUUUCCCUAGCAGAAAUGGUUUUACAAAACCAUUGAGGACUAGAUUUUAAUUGUGAAGGAAGGACAUUUGUUGUGCUGCCUCGGGUGAAAAAUGUUUAAAUGCCAAUAACUCAAGAGUUAAUGGGAAACAUUAGAUAUGACUCAGAAAAACUUAAGCUGUAAGGGCAAAGGAGUGAGCUGAGGCGAAUCUGCUUGGAACCAGUCUCUUUUUUUCUUGGUCCCCAUGGCUUACCACCCUUAUAGCAACCACAGCUGGGCCCAGUCUUUUACUUUUUCUUGGUAUCCCAAUGCGCUCCCACAUUUUAAAUUGGUGACUGAUGUACAUUAAAAGUAGAACCAGCUCUGCUAAAACAAGAGCCUUGCAGGCUGGGUAACAAUCUGUACUUCAGCUCGACUCAGUGAUUGAAUUCAUGAGAUCAAGAGCCAGCAGGGAAUGUGAUGCUAAGGAAACUCCAUUUUGUACCAAUUUUAGUAGGCUUUGCCUCUGACUUAAAUUCUUGAAAGCCUGUCUCCCUCCCCAAAAUGGUGCAACUGGUGAAAUGAUUAGCUGCUGGCUCAGGCUUUUGUAACUUGCUUAUAGCAGUAUGCAUAAGGAGGGAGUUUCUCAUAUAGCUGCAAAUUCCACAGAAAAAUUAAGUAAUUGUCAGUUUUACCUUUAAAAAUCUUUUCCUCAGCCCCUCCUAGGUGGUAUUCCUUUGAUUUGACUUUGAGACUGACAACCAGCUAGCAGUUUUAAUAAAUUUAUCUAAUAAUCUG